GACGAACGCUGGCGGCGUGCUUAACACAUGCAAGUCGAACGGAAAGGCCCUGCUCUUGCGGGGUGCUCGAGUGGCGAACGGGGGAGUAACACGUGAGUAACAUGCCCUUGACUUUGGGAUAUCAUCAGGAAACUGGGGCUAUUACAGCAUAGGAGCUCCUGCUGCACGGUGGGGGAUGGAAAGUUUCGGCGGUUGGGGAUGGACUCGCGGCUUAUCAGCUAGUUUGUGGGGUAGUGGCUUACCAAGGUUUUGAAGGGUAGCCGGCCUGAGAGGGUGGCCGGCGACCAUGGGCCUGAGGUACGGCGCAGACGCCUACGGGAGGCAGAAGUGGGGAAUUUUGCGCAAUGGGCGGAAGCCUGAUGCAGCAACGCCGCGUGCGUGAUGACGGCCUUCGGGUUGUAAACCGCUGUCGACUGUGAUGUAGCGGGAGUGACGGUAAUGGGUAAAGAAGCACCGGCUAACUACGUG
Molecule: ribosomal RNA, 468 nt
Filed under: uncultured bacterium
Lineage: Bacteria
Description: partial 16S ribosomal RNA
Rfam family: Bacterial small subunit ribosomal RNA
Source: RNAcentral